This 81-nucleotide transfer RNA is filed under the name Stegodyphus mimosarum. It matches the Rfam family "tRNA". Rfam says of the family: Transfer RNA (tRNA) molecules are approximately 80 nucleotides in length. Their secondary structure includes four short double-helical elements and three loops (D, anti-codon, and T loops). The record is from Rfam by way of RNAcentral. Lineage: Eukaryota; Metazoa; Arthropoda; Arachnida; Araneae; Eresidae.
GCCGUCGUGGUGUAGUGGUCAGCACGCUCGAACAGAGAAGUCGUAACCGAGAGGUCCGUGGUUCGAUUCCCGGCGAAGGCU